GCGGGUGUAGUGUAGUGGUUAUCACUGGAGCUUCCCAAGCUCUAGACCCGGGUUCGAAUCCCGGCAUCCGCA
Transfer RNA from Thermoplasmatales archaeon A-plasma, 72 nucleotides. It matches the Rfam family "tRNA". Rfam says of the family: Transfer RNA (tRNA) molecules are approximately 80 nucleotides in length. Their secondary structure includes four short double-helical elements and three loops (D, anti-codon, and T loops). The record is from Rfam. NCBI's taxonomy places the organism in Archaea, Methanobacteriati, Thermoplasmatota, Thermoplasmata, Thermoplasmatales.